CAGUAGCCGCGGUAAUACGAAGGGGGCUAGCGUUGCUCGGAAUGACUGGGCGUAAAGGGCGCGUAGGCGGCGAUCAAAGUCAGGCGUGAAAUUCCUGGGCUCAACCUGGGGGCUGCGUUUGAUACUUGAUUGCUAGAGUGGGGAAGAGGGUCGUGGAAUUCCCAGUGUAGAGGUGAAAUUCGUAGAUAUUGGGAAGAACACCGGUGGCGAAGGCGGCGACCUGGUCCUUGACUGACGCUGAGGCGCGAAAGCGUGGGGAGCAAACAGGAUUAGAUACCCCGGUAGUCCCUGUCUCUUAUAC
This 301-nucleotide ribosomal RNA is filed under the name uncultured bacterium. RNAcentral describes it as "partial 16S ribosomal RNA". It matches the Rfam family "Bacterial small subunit ribosomal RNA", at positions 509 to 807 of the family's 1533-position model. The record is from RNAcentral.